GCCGCGAGAACGCGUGCUCUCCCCGUGCUGAGUUUUUCCGAGAGCCCGAGGCACAGGACUGACAUGCGUCGGGUUCUUUUAAAAAAAAAAAAUGACUGAAGUGCCGUUGAAUGUGCCAUGUCGUGUCAGUUUCUGCGGUACAGCAAAGUCACCCAGUCGUACGUUCAUAGACACCCUUUUUCUCAAAUUAUCUUCCCUCACAGUCUAUCACGAGAGACUGGACCUCAUUCCCUGGGCUGUACAGCGGGACCUCACUGCUUCUCCCACAGCAAGAGAAGAGACCCCAGACCUCUCAAGUGAUGUUUCCGAGGCGCUCCUCGAGCCGACGCGGGCCGGCCCGGCAGGUGCUUCUUGGAGCCGGUUCUCACGCUGACCGUGCAGCCCUCACUACCCUUGGAGGGUGCAUUGAUGGGCAUCCGUAAAGACCGGGUCUGCCUCUCACAGUCCAACAGGAAAGGCAAUGAGGCAGCCAUCGGAGAUCUGCAGAUACACAUAAAUAUAGGAGAUUUUAAAGCCAUUCUGGAAUAUGCACUGGCCCCUCCCACGUAGGCUCUUGACACUUGGCCAGCGGACCCCGUCUUUGCUCUGUGCCACCCAGAGAGAGCCCGCGAAGUCCUCCAUGGUUCAUUUCUCCCGUUGGUGAGCGCUGGCUCAUGUUUGCGCAGCAAAGCUCAGCGUCUUGCUGUAACAGCCUCUGGGGCUGCGUGCCCACCAGCCCUCCUUGGAGGAGAGCGCCCGGUCCUGGCUGGGCCGCCCAGAGCACACGCAGAAGGUCAAGCUCGCAGCGCAGAACCCUAGUUCCAGGGGCAGUGGUUACUUCGGAGGACAGGUAACUUCGAUCACCUUACAUGAAGGUCUGAAGGUCAGCAGGCCCCACAGGUAGCCUUCGUGUUUAAGAGGCCGGGACCAAAGGUGAAGCCUGCCAGCAACACCAGAGUUGCAUCCCAAACUCAGUCCAACUUGCCAUUCGGAGGGCAGGCACCUCACAAUUCUGGUGGAAAGGAUCCAAGAACCCCUGCCUGCUGGACCUGCAGACAGACUCAGAUUCUCCAGGACGAGGCCCCUGCGGAAAGAUGGUGGGAGGAGAGAAGGUGAACUUGGUCCCGGGACUGCAUCAGGAAAAUUCAGUCUCCCGGGUUCUUGCCCGUGACCUGCCCGCCGGACCCUCUGGAUCACCAUGACAACCAGAAAACGCCUCCUCCCCAUCAGCAGGUCCCUGGAACGGACCCCCGCACCCACGGAAACUAGCAUCCCAACUGACCACACUUGGUAGAGGGUGCAACAUAAGAUCGUCUUGCUUCUGUGUCCAGACUAUGGCUCCCCGGGCUUGUUCGGAACACUGGAAGAAGGGCCUCUGUCUCUCCCUGCCACGGACGCUGCCAGGACAGUGCCAAUCAGGAGUGGAAAAGAUGUACUGAGAAAGGAUCCGUGCACGUCGUCGACUCGGAGCUGACCUGUGUCACCUGGAGGAUGCUGCCGAAAGUAACGAUGCGUCACCUCCGAGGUCCCGUCGUGGAAGACCUCAAAGAACAGGGACCCUGGGAGUUUGGGGAAAGGAAACUCUCCAAAGGCAUCUGAAAGAAGGAGAAAACACAGGAAGUACUGGCGAAAAGAUGUGAGACCCUCCUGUAAACGUUCCUGAGUCACUUGCAGGCGGCAUCCCCUUUUUCCUUCCCUGGAGCAGAAGCGGCAGACAGACUCUCAGGAAGACAUCCUGUAUGUGGCCCAUUCUCCGCAGUCAGGACAUCUUGAGCCGUGCGUUGCUCUCUGCUGUACCUUCCAGCCCUGGGGCCUCUGACAUUUACUUUCCUAGUGUGUCCAACGCUCCAAUUUCUUUGAGGAGGGCCCAGCUGUGCUCCAAAGUGCGCUGCAGAAGAAACUACACUGAAUUCUCUAUGAAGGAGGCAUUUUUCUUCCCCCCGUUCUACAAGAUGGAGAAACCGUGGAUCAGAGGAGUUAAGCAAAUCACCGAGGCCACACAGCUGGUGGGACCCCAGCAUUGGUAUGUUUUAAAGGUGCCCCCAAUGAUGAUGAUGCCAAUGAUGCUGGUAGGAGCAAUCAAGCUACCAUGACAGGUGACCAUAAUGAUACUUCCUGCUUGCUGUUUCUUUGAGAGCAGUUGGGGGGAGAACAGGACCCCCCAAGGCUAUUCUAUACACAGAGGGAGAGGGGAGCACCAAAGGGGAACGGACACUGAUGCUCUUCUCCAGGGACACAGCUCCAAAAAGCCAGAUCUGGGAAAGAAGCAGGCGGAGUGGUACCCAUCAGGCAAGUGAAUUCUAUCAGGUCGUCGGAUUAACCUACAUGUGGCUUUGAUCAGACCUCUUCGUGCUCACAGCCUGCACUUUUGGUUGGUACCCCUUCUCAUCCACACAGAAGAAAACCACUCCUCACACACACCUUGAUUUUUUUACCUUGGAACUUCUGACCUCAAAACCCUCUGACCUAAACUCUGUGCUUCCUACGUUACCUGGCUGGGGAGCAUCGCUCUCCUGGCAGUGGAUCUGGGGGGGAAUUUAGAACAUCUGAUGGUGUGACCAGCUAGUCCGUGAGGACGUGAGACUCACAUUGGGAAAGAAUUGUGAUUGACACCGUGAGGGGGAAGUGGCUGGCCUCGGGGUCACAGAGUUUCCCUUUGAAAGGUCCUUCCCGUUUCCUUCCAGCACGCGGUGGCACCGGAUCAGUAUUAAACCAAAGGUAACCACAGGGCUUUCAUACCAAUUAAGUGAGAUUAAAGAGGAAAUGAUUACUAAGAGUUAAAUAGCCAAAAUAAGAGGAAUACUAAUGGUGCUGUAUUGGCACAAAUUAGCACUCAAGGUUGCCAGGAAGGGCAGUAAGAUCCGUAUGGGUAACUCAGCACAUGUUGCCUCACCGUCUCAUCUCACCCUCCCAGCCACUGCCAUUCGUCCUGCUUAUCAGCAAAGGAAGUGCACAAGGGAGUCAAGGCCCUCCCUCCAACACAUGGCCUGAGUGCCGGGCAGAGUCAUCAUUUGAACCCAGCUCUGAUGCUGAAUCAGGACCAGAUACAUCAUUUACAGGCCCCUGGUUUUAAAACGAAUUAAGAAUUUCAAAACGGCAGCAGAAGAGCCUUAAACCAAAUGCAGGGUCCUUCUAAGUGGGGGCCGGGGCCCCACUGAGUCACAGUCUGCAUCCAGGGGAACUCUGUGUCCCUUAAACUUAAAGCUCUAUCUUCGACUUCUGGCCCCCAGAACUCUGAGAAAAUAGAUCAGUGUUGCUUUAAGUCAGUAAGUUCAUGAUAACAUUGUUACAGCAGCAACAGGAAACUCAUACAACUGGCCUGAAAAUGUAUCUUCUGCCUCCUGAAGCAGCCUGCUCAGUGUAGGCAGGGACUUGGAGCAGGGCAGCCCUGGGUCGUCCUCCAGACCCCUUCCAUUGCCCAGGAGAACAGGUGUUUAUUACAGUCCCCAGAGAGGCCCUGUCUUUCACGAAUUUCCCCCUUUAAUAAUGUGCUCCAAUGAGCGAGGUAUUGCACUAGAACAAUUUGCUUCUAGGAAUUAAUACACCUAGCAGCAUUAAUAGAACAUGCUGGCAUACUCUGAAAAUUCCACUUCAUCGCUCAUGAGGUUGCCGAAGACAUGGCAGAGGAGUGGGGAUGCUCACUGAGCCACGGAUCCGUUUACCCCAAACUUCCAUUCCCUCCCUCCCUGCUGGGUCCAAACCAGGGCACGUGGGAGCGGGGAGGUCCUUUCCGACUUCACAGACCCUCCCCACCCCACAGAGCCUGCUGACGGGUCCCGCCUGGGGACAGAUGGAAAUUCUCCACCUUCUUGCAAAUUUCCCAGCACCCUUUAGUGACCUCCCUUCCUUCUGAUUUUGAUCCAGACCACAGGUGAUGGGAGGGAGAGGACAGGUGACAGGCAUUGAUGGGCUUCCAGAAGGCAGGGCAUUGACUGGACCAGAAGAGUACAAUUCUUUUUAGAACACACUGAAUGACUGACUUCUGAAAAAAAAUAAGUUUACACCAGAAUAUGCAGAGGGAAGCUGACCCCUCGGAACACCUACAAACAUUCCCAUUUAAACACUCAUUUCAGAUACAUUAUUUUUAAACCAAAUGACGGAGCAUCAGGGACACCUACAAUUUGAAGAAAGAAUCCAGGUUUAUCACAAAGUGGGUAACGACUUCGAGAAAGCAGUGUUGGUUAACAGUACGAAACGUGAGACUGAGAGGAGAAUUUUGAAAGAAAAUAUUGCUUUAAAAAACAACUGUGCGCUAGAAGAAAUCAUCUCUCUCACGUGCUUUUAGAUAAUGGUCCCUUUGCCAUUUCCACUGAAUUCUUUCCUCCCUACUUUGAAAUAUUACAGUUUGGAAACAUCCCAUAAUGCACCCAACGUAGCCUUUGGGGUGUGUAUUUGAUAAUGACUUUGGCUUUCCUCUGCUUGGUGCCCAGUAAUGAGAAAGUGGAGGUUGUCUAUGACAAGACAUGUGCUGGGGUUGGGGUGGGGGGAAGGAGGAGGAAGAGAAGGGAGAAGAGGAGAGAAGGGGGGAGAGGGAAGGAAGAAAAAGUCCUAACUCUUGUGAUAAACUCUAGAACAUCCUCUAAGCCCUUUAUUCUGAAGUCUAGACCUCGUUUGCCCAGAGCAUCGCAUGAUCACCAAUGCUUUGCUCAGGGUGUCCCCACCCAUAGAGAAAGAAAGGAUUCAGCCAGAUGCGAACAUUUUAAAAAUAAAUAAGUGAUCCUCCCCUAGGAAAUCAGAUUCUGAGUUAGAACCCUCGUCUGGCUUAGCACAUAAGCCCUUAUCUUCUGGGCCCUAAAAUGAACACCCGCUGGUGAAACUGGGAAACGUCUGAGUUCCACUGGCAGACUAAACAGGGCAGGAGAUGAAAAAAAUUAAAAAAGAAAACACAAAAAGCUUGAAAAGGGGAGAGAAACGCAGCCAACUAAUUCACUAAGCAGGACAAGCCCGCAUCACGUGAGCUGCAGAGAGCUCUCCUGGCUUUCACGCGCUGGGCAGGAGCUCCUUUGAGUUUUCCUUCCUUAGAGUUCCCGUCGUGUCUCGGGAGCUCCCGACAUGGCUCAGCAGUUAAUGAACCCACUGGCAUCCACGAGGACACGGGUUCAAUCCCUGGCCUCGCUCGGUGGGUUAAGGAUCCGGCAUUGCCGGGAGCUGUGGUGUGGGUCGUAGAUGCGGCUCGGAUCCCGAGUUGCUGUGGCUGUGGGGUAGGCCGGCGGCUGUAGCUCCGAUUGGACCCCUAGCCUGGGAACCUCCCUAUGCUGCGGCUGUGGCCCUCAAAGACAAAAAGACCAAAAAAAAAGUUUUCCUUUCUUAAUUAUUAUUUUUACUUUUAAAGAGCAAGUGGAAGAUGUAUAUUUUGAUGAAGGAUGGUGUGGUUUUUUUGCAAGUCAUCUGAAGGAUGACUGGACGGCCAAGCAAAGGCUGUGGAUGCACUGAAUUCCUAGAAUGUGACUUUUUCUUUUCUUCCUGAGUAGGCCUGUCUGUUUGUUUAGGCAGACUUUGAGUUCGGUUGUUUGGAAGAAUGAACAUCACUGUUUUGUUCUGGAGAGAAGUCCUCGAUGGUGUCUGCUGCUGGUUCUUUAUCCCCACACGUUGACUCGGAUAUUAAAAUUCAGUACUUACAAGAAAGAGUUAAAAACACGACCAGCCACGCCUCGGUUAAAAUUACAAAUGAGAAAAAGGGAUGCCUCCUACACCAGCUUCCCAAUGUCCCCAUUUCUGUCAAGAAUACCAGGAUUCUUGCCGUGAGCCGAGCGCAAAGCCUAAGCAGCGUUCAUCCCAACGGCCUUUCUAGUCUGAAAAUAUGUCCUGUUGAUUUUUUCCAACCCCUCGAUUGUCUCACGUCCCUUUUCCCACCCUCAUGGACCUACUUCUGGACUUUAUCAGCUCAUGCUGGAACACAUGCAGUGGCCCUUUAACCUCCCCCCCAACCCCCCUGCUGUCAUUUCUAACCUCUUCCGUCUGGCACUUCUCUUAUUGCCAAUUAGAUCACGUCCAAUUCCUCGUGAAGUCAUCCAUAAUUUGGGCCACACCACCUGCUCAUCUUGCUCACGUCCUUACCUUGCGUUCACGGUCAUGUCGUCUAUCAGUGAUCUACGACUGAGGAACAAACCAACCCACACCUCCGUGCCUAAGACAACAGACCUUUAUUUUGCUCACGAAACUGAAGCAGGAAGAUCUCCGUGGAGCUGACUAGUCUGACCCAAGGUCAAGACGGCAGUUUCUGCUCAGCCAGGACUAUGGACAGGCACCUCUUCAUGUCCACCAGUGGCUGGGCUUCCUCAUGGUACGGGGGUUCCCAGGCUCAGCAUCCCAAGAGAACCAGGAGGGAGUUGUGCCACAUUUUAUGACCUAGCUUCCGGAGUCAAGCAGUGUCACUUCCACGAGGCCACUCAGAUUCAAGGGGAGGGGACAUAGUCGCCAUUCUUCAAUGGAAGGAGUGUCAAGUCACGGAGUAAAAGAAUCAUGCAGAAUGGGAGACACCAUUGCAGUCAUUUUUGGGGAAAUGCAAUCUGCCACCUGCAGCCUAUGAUUGGGGUGAUGGAUUUAGGACAAAUGCCAAGUAACACUUGCCAUCCAGUGGGCAGUGAGUGCAGGGUCACAUGCUCAGAUCUUGGAGUUGUCUGCCUCAUCUUGGAACCAAGACCACUCAGGCCAAUAAAAGCUGUGACUUUCCCACGUCAGGGUUAGUGGCAGAUUGGCCAUCAGCAGGCAGAUUUUUAUUCGGUGGGUUGGGUUUGGAUGAGGGUUUGAAAAUGUCUGCGUUAAAAACUCUCCACGAUGAUUCGCAUGAACAGGCAACUUUGGGAAACAUCAGGCUGGGAUUUAUCUCUCACUGUCCCUACAGUUGCCAGAGGACACACAGGCAGCUUGUUACCAGAAAUCCAGGAGGGUGUGGGUAUAUCACCGGAAUAUUUAGGGUCCUCUCCAAAUGGCAGCCGUCCUCAUCAGUCCACAGCCCGGCUGCACAAGCUAAUCUCCCUGGAUAAUUAGGCGAAUGACUAGUCAAGUUCCCAUCCUGCCCUGGAGAAACGGGAAUCAGGCACCAACUUGUUGGGGGUAAUUGAAUCCAUGCCAGUGUGCUGGCUCGCUGCCUUUCCCCCUCCAAGGAUUCAAGAGAGUAGCCUGUUGCCACAAGCAGAAGGUUUGGGUACCAGCGGCGACCAGGAACUGGCAGAGGCAAAGGCACCCUUCAUUAUGCAAUUAUCCAUAAUUAGGUGCUCAUUACUAUUUUACGAUCAGAGAGCCAGCACCCACCUGUGCAGGGCUGUCGUGGGGACUGGCGGGGCCGGGAGGCAGAGCCUCGCCUUUUCUCUAAGAACAUGACAUCGAACAUCAGCAGUGCCCACGCAACAUUGUAAAUCGACUCUACGUUGAUUUAAAUUAAAAAAAAAAUUUUUUUAAGAAUAAGGCUAUGACCAAAACAAACAAAAAACCCAAAAAACAAAAACACAAAAUAUUAAAACUUAUUUGGAAUGGGACUUUUAAAAGGUUAGAGGUGGAACUUAGGACUGGCCCUUUAGGGUUAGAGGCAGUAACAGUGACAAUGGCCAAGUGACUGUGAUCUUUCCUAGAAGGUGCGACCCAGAAUGUGAACCUGAUUUUGUUUUUUGUUUUUUGUCUUUUUGCCUUUGUCUAGGGCCGCUCCCACGGCAUAGGGAGGUUCCCAGGUUAGGGGUCAAAUCGGAACUGUAGCUGCCGGCCUACACCACAGCCACAGCAACACUGGAUCCUUAACCCACUGAGCGAGGCCAGGGAUCGAACCCGCAACCUCAUGGUUCCUAGUUCGAUUCGUUAAUCACUGAACCACAAAGGGAACUCCAUGCACCUGAUUUUGAUCAA
This 7818-nucleotide long non-coding RNA is filed under the name Sus scrofa (pig). Its description in RNAcentral is "lncRNA (ENSSSCG00040002651.1)". Lineage: Eukaryota; Metazoa; Chordata; Mammalia; Artiodactyla; Suidae. The record is from RNAcentral.